CAUUUAACAAGCACAUGAAGAAAAUUUCAUUUAAAAAUACUUAUUUUUCUAAAAGUUAUGAAGAAUCAAAGUUGUGGUGUGGGGUUGCACACAUGUACAGGUAUGCGAGAAUAUGAUGACUACAAUGACGAUAAAAAGGACAACAAUGAGGAAUUAAUAUAUCUAGGAAUAUGUUAUUCCGUGUGUCCUUUCUAUCGUGAGAGUGAAAUCUGAAAAAUAUUAGGAGACUACUUCAAAGAAGGUGAGAGAGACCAGUAGGAGACAAGGCAGUGUCCAUGACCUUUUACAGGGCCUUCCGAAACUGGAAGGAGGGAUUGAGAAAGAUAUCCUGAAACCGGAAACCUGGCCCCAUUGCUUGCUACAGACUGGAUUCAGUUAAAAGAACUGAAGGUGCCAGGUGAUAGUGUUAAAUUGGGCAGCAGGUUAAGUCUAUUUCCCACUUUUAGUAAACACAUUUCUUACCAAAUAUGGAAAUUUAUUUCAAUAAAAACACUGCCUCACUGUGAGAAGUAUGUACACGUGAUUCGAUGACAUAUUUUUACUCACUGUAGCAAAUAAAUAAAUAAAG
This is a long non-coding RNA of Octopus sinensis (East Asian common octopus), 568 nucleotides long. RefSeq lists it as uncharacterized. The transcript has 3 exons. The record is from RefSeq and is a predicted model, not a curated record. Lineage: Eukaryota; Metazoa; Mollusca; Cephalopoda; Octopoda; Octopodidae.